Molecule: RNA transcript, 4031 nt
Organism: Triticum dicoccoides
Lineage: Eukaryota; Viridiplantae; Streptophyta; Magnoliopsida; Poales; Poaceae
Exons: 8
Source: RefSeq, a predicted model, not a curated record
UCUCUCGCGACCACGCCCUCGGGGCAGUUUUCCAUUGCCCAGCGCCCCACACCUUGCCCCACCUCUUCCCUCCCCGCCAGCCACCGCCUGCCUCCAUCUGCACGCGUCGCCGGACCGCCGCGUCCACACGUAGCCCGGACUGCCGCCCACGCUCCAGGCGACCGGUCCGCCACGCCCACGCUUGAGGCGCCCAGGCCGCCCCAUCCACGCUCCAGGCGAACCGCGGCGCCCACGCUCCAGGCUCCCGGGCCGCCCCCUCCAUGCUCCAGGCGGACCACGGCGCCAUAGCUCCAGGCGCCCGGACCGCCACGCUCACGCUCCAGCCGCUCGGGCCGCCGCGUCCACGCACCGCCCGGUCACAGGCACCGCCGUUCCUCCACACUGCAGGAGUUUGUCUCCUGCGUUGUGCCAGAUGCAACAUGUACUGAAGCCGCAGGACGCCCUUGAACAACGGGAUCUGCCGCCUCCCUUGGACUUCGCCGGCAAGGCGUGAUCCGUCGUCGCCACCCACUCCUCCCAUGGGAGGAUGCGGCUGCUAUCAUCAACCUCCGCUCCAUGGGCGUGCUCCCAAAUUCAAUAUGUUAGAUUUGCAGAGACUGAUGUUGCAUGACGCAAGAAGAAACAUGUGGUUCUGUUGCGAAUCACCGCAGCGAUGCAGUGCCAUGGAAACUGGAGAAUUUUUAUCUACUAUACUUGUUCGUUGCCUGCAUCAUAUUGCAGUUCCAAAGUCCACAUAAGGAAUUUUAAAUAAUACAUAAUUCAUUGGCGUGUACUCUGUCAUAGGAUGUUGCUUUACAUUUUGGGCGCACCAUGUUUUAACUGAGAAGGCAGUUGUUGGUACAGUUAGAGUUCAAAGAGGUCCUUCGACGAGGGUGUGUCAAAACUCAGCUAGGCGCUUCGAUGUCAACUGUGGUUCCUUCGCUACCCUCCUCAUUCGGUGUUCCACCUCACCACUCCCCAGCAGUGGGAGCAGAGCAGCCGACGGGUUCCUGGCUUACCUGCCUCGCAAAGAGCUGGUGCUUUUUUGGAAAUUUGGUAACACCACAAGCAGCAAUCGAUUUUGAAAGCCAAAAAACAUCCAAAACAUGUACAGUGGGAGUACUGCCAGUUUAGGAGCAAAGUAACCAUUACUAGAGUAAUGAAUAUGAGAAAUGAAUAGUUGAUGAAACUGAGCGCUGUUGUAAUUCUCGACAGUGAAAUGGUCUUUUUUGUCCCAGUAAAGGUUGGAGGUAGAAUCAGCUUCAAUCUCGAGUACCCAAUUGUAGAGAAGACGAAAGGAGGCACAACAUAUAUGGAAGAUGGUAACCAGAUAAUGAAGCAAUUUUUGGUGCACCUACUCAACUACAUCAACAGUGAAGCUGCACACAACAUUUCGGAUGUUUGAGAGAAUUGAUCAGCUUCAUCAGGAAAUACUGCUAUAAUUUUUUGGCUCUAUGAAUAAGAUGAGUCGAUGAUACAUUGAAGUGUCUUCUUGAUUUAUAAUAGUACUUUUUAGUGCAAUUAAAAUAUCUUUCUGGGUAUGUUAAUUCUUACAUAUAUAUUAGUUGAGACGUGCAUUUACACGGGCACGCUUACUAGUAAGGAAAGAAAAGCAUUGAAUAGGAAAGAGAGUUGAUUGCAGAUUCGUUUUUCCUUUGGAGCCCUGUUUCUUUUCGUGGUAAAAUAGCAAAAAAAAAAAAAGGUGUGGCAGAUCUGUUGGGAUUUGGGACGUGAUCCUUCCCACGUGUGUUGUUUGACUUUGGAAAGAAUCAGAAUAAAAAGAGAGAGGACGACUUAAUUGGUAGAGUUCGGAAGGAAAUAACGUGAGUUAUCUCUACUACUAUUAAACAAGCAAACAUAUUCUUUUCUAAACGCACCCCAUCAAACAUACACACAAUAAUUUCAGACUAUUAGAGCCACACGAUUAGGGAUACUCAUUUAGAUCUAGCCGUCAGAAUAACAACUAACCCUCAACCAAAAGUACAUCUAUCAAUUUUAGUGGGCGGACGAAAACUCUGCCGGCCAUCGUACGCACGAGCGAACGAAAAGUUCUCGACACCCACCCAAUCUCACCCCUAAAUUAGCGCUAACCUCCCAAUCUCACCCCAAAUUUAGCGCUAACCUCUCUGGUCGCACAAAUCUCCUCCAAGCAGAGUGGACGCGCCGUGGGCGGCCACUGGCGAUGAGGUCGCGCGCGAUCCCGCGCGGCGCGGCGGCUCCCGCUCCACCUCGCCUCUCCGGCUGAACAGGUCUCCUCCCUAGGCACGACGUGGGUGCACGCAGACGCAGGGCGGUCGCCGGCGAACGAGGCCGCACGCGAGACCGCGGCGAGGCGGCGCGGAGCCCUCUGCUCCCUCCAGUUUGUGAUCUGCUCAUCUGCAUCGGUCACCUCCAUCGCCACCGCGAGUCACCUCCUCCUCCGCCGCCAGGAAUCCCAUCGACGGCAAGGUAACUGCCCUCCCCGGUCAUCACGCCCUGCUUGCUGCGUGUGUGUGGUGUGCUGUGUGGGUGCUUAAUGCUGAGUGCUUUCCAGCUUGUCGCUGAUGGCCCGCUGCUGUUGCUUUGUUGUAUAGUAGUAUGAUUUUUGAGUCAGACUAUGAUCCAUGCACUUAAGGGAAGGGAUUAUGAUGCUGCUGAACUGGGAGUCCUUUAUCUUGAAGCCAGAAGUUUGGUAUUGGCUGAUGUUCCCCUUAGCGUUUGGGCAUUUCAAGCCCCUUACUUAAGCGAUUUACGUGUGCACAAGUUUAAGUGGAAUACAUUUUUCUGUUCAAGAAAAACUUGCUGGAUUAAUUUGUUUUAUCUGGCGAUGAAGUGAUGGUGCACGAGGACGGACUUCCUAGAUAAGAAAAUGUCUGUGCUCUUCUCGAUGGUGCAAAGUUGAGGUGUUCUCAAAUCUCAAUGACCUAUUCUUUUUUACUACUCACUCUUCAAUGUUCCUUUUUUUUUGUUUUUGUCUAUUCUUAUGUUCUUUGUUUCCGAUUUCAACUUUCCAAGGAUUUAGUUAAAAAAAAAUCAAGGAUUGUUCUUCUCAUGCCUUCUGUUGGUUGUUCAAGGAUGGUGCUGAAAUUUUGGGAGAGAUGGAGAACAUGGAGCCUUGGGUAGCUGAAGUACAUCCUUCCUUAAGCGUAAGAUGCGUUCUGGUUCAUAGGUAAAUCAUGAAGCAAAACUUUGUUGCUUUUUCAAUUUUUCUCUAUGAAGCAAGAUGGUCUGCAUUUUAACAGUACACGAAUAUAAAAUAGGGAUGGUUAAAACAAUGGCUCAAGUUUUGAUUUGAUAGUUAAAACAAUGUUAAAAAAUAGGAUUGUUUUGUGCUCUCUUCGGAUAUUAAUCCAAUUAGGCUUAGCAGUAUAUGAAUGCACAAGCUCUUUAGGAAAGCCAAAAGAGAAAAUGGAAAACUAUUACAUGUCUAUUUGUCCAAACAACGUAAAUCGAGACUUCUAUCUUGCCAAAACCUCUUAUUAUUGCGUUCAUUUUCUUCCUAUUGUUUACAUGUCACCUCUUUGUUGGUUGUUGUAUGGUGCCAAGGCCAUUAGAAAAGAGUAAUGCCUCAAACAAGGUAGUUCUGAAGAUAGAACUCAGGGUAGCUACCAUCGAUGAUGCUUUCCAGCAAGCUCCUGGGUGACUACUCGAUGCCGACCAUUGUUGGUUUCCUUCAUGGCUAUUGUAAAAUGAUGAUUCAUAUAUCACAUGCUCUUUAUUGGUAUUGGCAUGCCUGUAUCACUUCACUUUUGUUCCUUUCUUAGGGGUUGCAAGAAACAUAUACUAAUGGUUACGGGCAGAGGAGCAAAUAAGAGAAAUUACAAUGUCACAACUAUUCUCAGUUAUGAGAAUACUGAAACGGAUAUAGACUGAUGAGAUGAUGUUCAUACAUGUUGAAGCAGGUUUCGGAAAGAAGUAAUGGAUAUAGAACUAACUAUGCUCAUCCUGUUGGUAGGACAUUCUCAUAGAUCGUUUUUUUUCUUGUUCUGGUUGUCAUAUGCUAAAGGCUGUGUACCUAUGAAAAAAGAAGAUACUUCAAAUUUUUUAUGUAGUACUUGGUGUAUGUGUGCUCA